CUCGCAGCUCCCUGAGGCUCUGCAGUCAUGAGUGGUGGAGUGAAUCUCAAAGUCCUAUCUCAGAAUCAGAGUGACGCAGGCGUCGGCUCCGGUCUCCCUUUACCCCGAAGCAUGAUGCCACUGUCUAAGAUGGACCCGCACCAGCACGGCGGCCCCCGCGCUCCCCCGGGGCCGUUCCCGCAGGCCGCCAGAGGACGUCCGUCCUGCUCUCCGCUGUCUGUGUCCUCAGCUUCUGCAGAGCUGCUCGGAGGCGCAGCUUUAAACAAGCACCUGCUGCAGCAGAGAGCUGCUCCGUCCCCUCAUCGGGGCCCGGCAGCCACGGUCAGAACCGAUGGGACCCGCUCGGCCUACAGCAGCCCUCAGGUCCCGAAGAGGGACACGCCGUGCUCCAAAGACACCCUGGACCUCCGCUGCAGCGCCUUCACCCACAAGUCCUUACGGGACCUCCAGCUGAGACGAAACGUCAACCAGAACUGGACCUUUGGAAAGUACCGUCUGAGGAGCGUGGACAAUGCGGAUCACAACGCAGCGCGCAGGCUCUCGGCUAAUGCGCAGCAAGGCCAGGGGAGAGGGCGUCUGCUCUACAAUAAGGGAGCCAACGGGAAUGAGAUACCGGGGGUGCCUUCAGGGGCAGUGGGGAGUUUCCAGAAGGACACGAGAACCCUUUCCAACCGAGUGCUGGGAGCGUCUGACGUGGAGGCGCCCGGUGACAGAUCCCGGUCGUAUCAGGUGUCCAACAUGUCGCACAGAGCGAGAGUCAACAUGGCAGCUGUGGCUCCCUUCAGGUUCAGGUUACCGGUCCAUGAUGACACGGACGCUUCGCUGGAUGAUCUCAGCGACUGCUCCUCUGACUCCAUGGAGAUCUGCUGCGACGACGCUGGUGAGUUCUGUUGGUUUGGACGGUUUGUAAAGCGGUGAUUGACAGCUACAGUCGGUAAGAACUGGGGACACAAUGAAAAGACGCUACACUUUUCUAGCUCAGUUUCCUGUACUCGGUGCCAGCGUCUUGUGAAAGUGUUUUCCAGAACCGUGGAACGUUCCAAAGGAGUCAGACUGAGAUCAAAGUGCUCGGGGUUAAUGUCUCACGAGAGAUUUGUUUAAACGUCCCUGUGUUCUACGUCCUGGAGAAAAGCAAACAGAGAAACGUGAUGUCAGGCUCCACAUGCAAGAAUAAACAUCUUGCAAACAAGCUUUUAUGUGGUUUC
This 1205-nucleotide long non-coding RNA is filed under the name Betta splendens (Siamese fighting fish). Its description in RNAcentral is "lncRNA (ENSBSLG00000014637.1)". The record is from RNAcentral. Lineage: Eukaryota; Metazoa; Chordata; Actinopteri; Anabantiformes; Osphronemidae.